UACGGGGGGGGCAAGCGUUGUUCGGAUUUACUGGGCGUAAAGCGCACGUAGGCGGAUCGUUAAGUCGGGGGUGAAAUCCUGGAGCUCAACUCCAGAACUGCCUUCGAUACUGGCGAUCUUGAGUCCGGAAGAGGUGAGUGGAACUCCUAGUGUAGAGGUGGAAUUCGUAGAUAUUAGGAAGAACACCAGUGGCGAAGGCGGCUCACUGGUCCGGUACUGACGCUGAGGUGCGAAAGCGUGGGGAGCAAACAGG
RNAcentral lists this ribosomal RNA (253 nucleotides) under uncultured bacterium. RNAcentral's name for it is "partial 16S ribosomal RNA". It matches the Rfam family "Bacterial small subunit ribosomal RNA", at positions 524 to 776 of the family's 1533-position model. The record is from RNAcentral.